This 97-nucleotide transfer RNA is filed under the name Zwartia hollandica. Its description in RNAcentral is "Alcaligenaceae bacterium LF4-65 tRNA-Sec". It matches the Rfam family "Selenocysteine transfer RNA". Lineage: Bacteria; Pseudomonadati; Pseudomonadota; Betaproteobacteria; Burkholderiales; Alcaligenaceae. The record is from RNAcentral.
GGAAGAGUGUCGCUCCCGGGUGGGACGUCCGGACUUCAAAUCCGGGAAUGGCUGUCGUACAGUCCUUGGUGGGUUCGACUCCCAUACUCUUCCGCCA